RNAcentral lists this ribosomal RNA (132 nucleotides) under uncultured Actinomycetes bacterium. Its description in RNAcentral is "uncultured actinobacterium partial 16S ribosomal RNA". Lineage: Bacteria; Bacillati; Actinomycetota; Actinomycetes. The record is from RNAcentral.
UAGCCGGUGCUUCUUCUGCAAGUACCGUCACUUUCGCUUCUUCCUUGCUGAAAGCGGUUUACAACCCGAAGGCCUUCAUCCCGCACGCGGCGGGGCUGGGUCAGAGUUCCCUCCAUUGCCCAAUAUUCCCCA